Molecule: ribosomal RNA, 135 nt
Filed under: Carlito syrichta (Philippine tarsier)
Lineage: Eukaryota; Metazoa; Chordata; Mammalia; Primates; Tarsiidae
Source: RNAcentral
AUCUAUCCCAUGCCACCCUGAUGGCACCUGAUCUUGUCUAAUCUCGGAAGCUAAGCAGGGUCAGGCCUGGUUAGUACUUGGAUGGGAGAAGGCUCUUACACACCAGCUGUUUCACCAUAAAACAGUAGGUAGAUU